UCAUAUGUACAUGCCUACAACAUAACGUUAAUGCACUGGAUCCCAUUAUAACUCCACAAUUAAGCACACUCGGGCUAGAGUAGUACUGGGAUGGGUGACCACCUGAGAAUGACUAGUGUUUUAUAUGCC
Picea glauca (white spruce) is the source of this 129-nucleotide non-coding RNA. The record is from Rfam. NCBI's taxonomy places the organism in Eukaryota, Viridiplantae, Streptophyta, Pinopsida, Pinales, Pinaceae.